UGGGUCCGCGCCCAGGUCCAGCAGCAGCAGGCGAGGCGGAGCGGCGUGGACGCCAGCGUCGUCGUCGCGUGGAGGGAACCCCGUGGCGGCGAGGAGAGGGGUGAGGGAGGGAGUACGUGGAGGCGGCGCGGGAGAUGGUGCGGCGGCGGCCGGACGGCGGGCCAGCGAGGUGGUUCUCGCCGCUCGAGUGCGGCCGGCGGCGACGACGACGAUGGACGGAGCCUGCCCGGCGCUCCCACGAUGUUCUUCUUGCCCGGAACUGAUGGAGUUGGUUUAGGACUGAUCCGGCACCAUGAGAGAUUAGCAAAGAUGUUCGAUAUGUGGUGCUUAUAUACCUGUUGAAGAUCGUACGUCCUUUGAAGGACAAGUUGGGUAUGUGGAGAGGGCAGUGAAAUCAGAGGGCCAGAGAGCAAGAGACAGGCCAGUCUAUCUUGUUGGAGAAUCUGUUGGCGCAUGCAUUGCUCUUGCUGUGGCAGCGCGAAAUCCAUAUAUCGAUUUGGUAUUGAUCCUAGUCAACCCAGGUCUUGCUGCCAUUGGCCAAAAUUUUCUUCUGUCUUGCUCUGUUUCUCUUCUUUCAGCGAACAAAUGUUCAGUAAUUCAUCUUCUUCCAGAAGUCCCAGCUGCAGUCCCUGAACCAUUCCAUUUAACCACACCGCAGAUGCUGAAUUUCCUGACAGGUUUGAUUCACUUAUAUAAGGGGACAUUUAUGACGAUGGAUAGAUUUUUUGAUUUUACUCAGCUGGUGAAGAAAUAUCAUUUCAUGUUUAGCUCACUUUUCUUCAUUUGAAACUUUAUGAAGUAAACUCAUUUGACAUAAAAGUAGUUAUUAUCUACUA
Oryza brachyantha (malo sina) is the source of this 836-nucleotide long non-coding RNA. RefSeq lists it as uncharacterized. The record is from RefSeq and is a predicted model, not a curated record. Lineage: Eukaryota; Viridiplantae; Streptophyta; Magnoliopsida; Poales; Poaceae. The transcript is spliced from 4 exons.